This 1305-nucleotide long non-coding RNA is filed under the name Homo sapiens (human). RNAcentral describes it as "HSALNT0020860". The record is from RNAcentral. Lineage: Eukaryota; Metazoa; Chordata; Mammalia; Primates; Hominidae.
CGAAAGUGGCCAGAAGAAUUUGAGAACAGCCACACAGGGAAGCCCCUUGACCCACUGGCCACCCUCUUCCAGGAGAUGCAAGCGUGAUGGUUAAAUGUGACAACUGAAGCUGGUCUGCUGAAGAUAAGGCUGCAGUCAGGAACUGGCUCCAGAGCAGGAGAGUGUGCUGAGGUGGCACAGGAGUACGAGGCUGAAAGGCCCUGAGACAAGAAGAUUGAACUCUCUGAGACUCCCUUUCAGGACUACCACUUGCCAAUGCGGUACUUUGGUGCAAUUUGAAAGAGGUGCCCCAUCUAGGCACAUGCCUUGGAUGAAGAGCCCAAUGGAAGAAUUUCUCUGUAAACCAAUGCUGCUGGGAAGGAGAUUUCCAUCCCCGGGGAAACCUAAGUAAGGUCCACCAUGAGCGAGAGCUGGGCUCCGAGACUGCCUUAGGAGAGGGGGCCUGGUCAAUCGCUAUCCCUUUCAGGAUUCCCUAAAACCCUCUCACCCCAGGAGGAUUUAUACACCAGGGAAGGUCAGAUGUGAGGCGAAAUGGUCUCUGUGUUUUAGAAGCAGAUGGUUAGGUUUCCACUCAAGAAUUCUCGUGCUUAUGAAAAAAGAAUACUGAUAUGGUUUGGCUCUGUGUCCCCACCCAUAUCUCACCUUGAAUUGUAAUCAAAGGCAGGACCAGGUGGAGGUAAUUGAAUCAUGGGGGUGGUUUCCCUCAUGCUGUUCUCGUGAUAAUGAGUGAGUUCUCAUGAGAACUGAUGGCUUUAUAAGCAUCUGGCAUUCCCCCUACUGGCACUCAUUCUCUCUCCUGCUGCCCUGUGAAGAGGUGCCUUCCACCAUGAUUGUAAGUUUCCUGAGGCCUCCCCAGUCAUGCAGAACUGUGAGUCAAUUAAACCUCCUUUCUUUAUAAAUUACCCAGUCUCGAGCAUUUCUUUAUAGCAGCAUGAGAACAGACUAAUACAAAUAUCAUGAAUGGUAGCCCCUGACACACACACAUAUGUACUCCAUUACUCCACAAACCCAUACCCAUACUCGUGUACACACACUCAUGAACACAAACACACAUCCAUACCACACACUCACAGUGCACACCAAUACAGUGACACCAUGCACGAACUUCACACAUGCUCACAUCACAGCUCACACGGAUACUCCAUACACACAUUCAUGUCCCACACAGUCAUGGACAGGCAGGCCCACCACACUCAUCUCCCCUCAUACCCCCACCUGCACACAACUGUGAGAAGAAAAGAGCCAUCAGGAGCUGUCUCUCUCUGGCUGGUAGUGAAAAAAGAUUAGGGCUGCCCAAGAUUAAAC